GCGGCAAAAGCUCAAAUUUGAAAUCUGGCACUUUCAGUGUCCGAGUUGUAAUUUGAAGAAGGUAUCUUUGGGUCUGGCUCUUGUCUAUGUUUCUUGGAACAGAACGUCACAGAGGGUGAGAAUCCCGUGCGAUGAGAUGUCCCAGACCUAUGUAAAGUUCCUUCGAAGAGUCGAGUUGUUUGGGAAUGCAGCUCUAAGUGGGUGGUAAAUUCCAUCUAAAGCUAAAUAUUGGCGAGAGACCGAUAGCGAACAAGUACAGUGAUGGAAAGAUGAAAAGAACUUUGAAAAGAGAGUGAAAAAGUACGUGAAAUUGUUGAAAGGGAAGGGCUUGAGAUCAGACUUGGUAUUUUGUAUGUUACUCUCUCGGGGGUGGCCUCUACAGUUUACCGGGCCAGCAUCAGUUUGGGCGGUAGGACAAUUGCAAAGAAAUGUGGCACUGCCUCGGUAGUGUGUUAUAGUCUUUGUCGAUACUGCCAGCCUAGACUGAGGACUGCGGCUUCGGCCUAGGAUGUUGGCAUAAUGAUCUUAAGUCGCCCGUCUUGA
RNAcentral lists this ribosomal RNA (543 nucleotides) under Lodderomyces orthopsilosis. Its description in RNAcentral is "Candida orthopsilosis partial large subunit ribosomal RNA". It matches the Rfam family "Eukaryotic large subunit ribosomal RNA", at positions 98 to 657 of the family's 3401-position model. Lineage: Eukaryota; Fungi; Ascomycota; Pichiomycetes; Serinales; Debaryomycetaceae. The record is from RNAcentral.